AGCGAACGCUGGCGGCAGGCUUAACACAUGCAAGUCGAGCGGGCGUAGCAAUACGUCAGCGGCAGACGGGUGAGUAACGCGUGGGAACAUACCUUUUGGUUCGGAACAACACAGGGAAACUUGUGCUAAUACCGGAUAAGCCCUUACGGGGAAAGAUUUAUCGCCGAAAGAUUGGCCCGCGUCUGAUUAGCUAGUUGGUGAGGUAAUGGCUCACCAAGGCGACGAUCAGUAGCNGGUCUGAGAGGAUGAUCAGCCACAUUGGGACUGAGACACGGCCCAAACUCCUACGGGAGGCAGCAGUGGGGAAUAUUGGACAAUGGGCGCAAGCCUGAUCCAGCCAUGCCGCGUGAGUGAUGAAGGCCCUAGGGUUGUAAAGCUCUUUUGUGCGGGAAGAUAAUGACGGUACCGCAAGAAUAAG
This 418-nucleotide ribosomal RNA is filed under the name uncultured bacterium. Its description in RNAcentral is "bacterial SSU rRNA". It matches the Rfam family "Bacterial small subunit ribosomal RNA", at positions 29 to 490 of the family's 1533-position model. The record is from RNAcentral.